GGGUUGUGAGGUUAAGUGACUAAGCGUACACGGUGGAUGCCUAGGCAGUCAGAGGCGAUGAAGGGCGUGCUAAUCUGCGAUAAGCGUCGGUAAGCUGAUAUGAAGCGUAAUAACCGGCGAUACCCGAAUGGGGAAACCCAGUGUGUUUCGACACACUAUUGCAUGGUGAAUCCAUAGCCAUGCAAGGCGAACCGGGGGAACUGAAACAUCUAAGUACCCCGAGGAAAAGAAAUCAACCGAGAUUCCCCCAGUAGCGGCGAGCGAACGGGGAAGAGCCCAGAACCUGAAUCAGUUUGUGUCUUAGUGGAAGCGUCUGGAAAGUCGCGCAGCAAAGGGUGAUAGCCCCGUACACCAAAAGGCAUGAAUUGUGAGUUCGAUGAGUAGGGCGGGACACGUGUUAUCCUGUCUGAAUAUGGGGGGACCAUCCUCCAAGGCUAAAUACUCCUGACUGACCGAUAGUGAACCAGUACCGUGAGGGAAAGGCGAAAAGAACCCCGGCGAGGGGAGUGAAAUAGAACCUGAAACCGUGUACGUACAAGCAGUGGGAGCCUUGAUUUAUCAGGGUGACUGCGUACCUUUUGUAUAAUGGGUCAGCGACUUAUAUUUUGUAGCAAGGUUAACCGCAUAGGGGAGCCGUAGGGAAACCGAGUCUUAACUGGGCGUCAAGUUGCAAGGUAUAGACCCGAAACCCGGUGAUCUAGCCAUGGGCAGGUUGAAGGUUGGGUAACACUAACUGGAGGACCGAACCGACUAAUGUUGAAAAAUUAGCGGAUGACUUGUGGCUGGGGGUGAAAGGCCAAUCAAACCGGGAGAUAGCUGGUUCUCCCCGAAAGCUAUUUAGGUAGCGCCUCGUGAACUCAUCUUCGGGGGUAGAGCACUGUUUCGGCUAGGGGGCCACCCCGGCUUACCAAACCGAUGCAAACUGCGAAUACCGAAGAAUGUUAUCACGGGAGACACACGGCGGGUGCUAACGUCCGUCGUGAAGAGGGAAACAACCCAGACCGCCAGCUAAGGUCCCAAAGUCAUGGUUAAGUGGGAAACGAUGUGGGAAGGCAUAGACAGCCAGGAUGUUGGCUUAGAAGCAGCCAUCAUUUAAAGAAAGCGUAAUAGCUCACUGGUCGAGUCGGCCUGCGCGGAAGAUGUAACGGGGCUAAACCAUGCACCGAAGCUGCGGCAGCGACGCUUAGGCGUUGUUGGGUAGGGGAGCGUUCUGUAAGCCGUUGAAGGUGGCCUGUGAGGGUUGCUGGAGGUAUCAGAAGUGCGAAUGCUGACAUAAGUAACGAUAAUGCGGGUGAAAAACCCGCACGCCGGAAGACCAAGGGUUCCUGUCCAACGUUAAUCGGGGCAGGGUGAGUCGACUCCUAAGGCGAGGCUGAAAAGCGUAGUCGAUGGGAAACAGGUUAAUAUUCCUGUACUUGGUGUUACUGCGAAGGGGGGACGGAGAAGGCUAGGCUGGCCGGGCGACGGUUGUCCCGGUUUAAGCGUGUAGGGGGGUAGUCCUGGUAAAUCCGGACUGCUUUAACCCUGAGGCGUGAUGACGAGUCACUACGGUGGCGAAGCAGUUGAUGCCCAGCUUCCAGGAAAAGCCUCUAAGCAUCAGGUAACAUCAAAUCGUACCCCAAACCGACACAGGUGGUCAGGUAGAGAAUACUCAGGCGCUUGAGAGAACUCGGGUGAAGGAACUAGGCAAAAUGGUGCCGUAACUUCGGGAGAAGGCACGCUGGCAUGUAGGUGAAGUCCCUUGCGGAUGGAGCUGAAGCCAGUCGCAGAUACCAGCUGGCUGCAACUGUUUAAUAAAAACACAGCACUGUGCAAACACGAAAGUGGACGUAUACGGUGUGACGCCUGCCCGGUGCCGGAAGGUUAAUUGAUGGGGUCAGCCGCAAGGCGAAGCUCUUGAUCGAAGCCCCGGUAAACGGCGGCCGUAACUAUAACGGUCCUAAGGUAGCGAAAUUCCUUGUCGGGUAAGUUCCGACCUGCACGAAUGGCGUAAUGAUGGCCAGGCUGUCUCCACCCGAGACUCAGUGAAAUUGAACUCGCUGUGAAGAUGCAGUGUACCCGCGGCAAGACGGAAAGACCCCGUGAACCUUUACUAUAGCUUGACACUGAACAUUGAGCCUUGAUGUGUAGGAUAGGUGGGAGGCUUAGAAGUGUGGACGCCAGUCUGCAUGGAGCCAACCUUGAAAUACCACCCUUUAAUGUUUGAUGUUCUAACUCGGCCCCCUGAGCGGGGGUGAGGACAGUGUCUGGUGGGUAGUUUGACUGGGGCGGUCUCCUCCCAAAGAGUAACGGAGGAGCACGAAGGUUAGCUAAUCCUGGUCGGACAUCAGGAGGUUAGUGCAAAGGCAUAAGCUAGCUUGACUGCGAGAGUGACGGCUCGAGCAGGUGCGAAAGCAGGUCUUAGUGAUCCGGUGGUUCUGAAUGGAAGGGCCAUCGCUCAACGGAUAAAAGGUACUCCGGGGAUAACAGGCUGAUACCGCCCAAGAGUUCAUAUCGACGGCGGUGUUUGGCACCUCGAUGUCGGCUCAUCACAUCCUGGGGCUGAAGUAGGUCCCAAGGGUAUGGCUGUUCGCCAUUUAAAGUGGUACGCGAGCUGGGUUUAGAACGUCGUGAGACAGUUCGGUCCCUAUCUGCCGUGGGCGUUGGAAGAUUGAGAGGGGUUGCUCCUAGUACGAGAGGACCGGAGUGAACGCACCACUGGUGUUCGGGUUGUCAUGCCAAUGGCAUUGCCCGGUAGCUAAGUGCGGAAGAGAUAAGCGCUGAAAGCAUCUAAGCGCGAAACUUGCCUCGAGAUGAGUCUUCCCUUGGACCUUGAGUCCACUAAAGGAACGUUUAAGACUAAGACGUUGAUAGGCUGGGUGUGUAAGUGCAGCGAUGCAUUGAGCUAACCAGUACUAAUGAACCGUGAGGCUUAACCUUACAACACCGAAGGUGUUUUAG
RNAcentral lists this ribosomal RNA (2940 nucleotides) under Gibbsiella quercinecans. RNAcentral describes it as "bacterial LSU rRNA". It matches the Rfam family "Bacterial large subunit ribosomal RNA". Lineage: Bacteria; Pseudomonadati; Pseudomonadota; Gammaproteobacteria; Enterobacterales; Yersiniaceae. The record is from RNAcentral.